GUGAAGAAUAGAUGGGAGAAGAGCUCUUGGGGGAGGAAGCUGAUUGUGCAAAAGAGGAGAGCUGAACUGAAUGAUUUCGAUAGAUUUAAGGUUAUGUUGGCUAAAAUUAAGAGAGGAGAUUCCAUCCGACGUGAGCUUUCAAAGCUAAAGAAGAGUGCUUCAAAGUGAGGCUUUUGAAGAAUUAAUGGCUGAUUCUGUUCCCAUUAUUGCAGGAUUAAGUUGAGUGUCUACCAACCGUUAGAAAAAUUGUAGUUUUGGUCGGUGUUAUGAACUUUUGUGGAUUCUUUAAAGUUUGACGUUUUGAUUUUGUACCUCUUUGCUUUAUUAUUUGAAUGAAUUUAAGAGUAAUUUAUGAAA
Molecule: long non-coding RNA, 357 nt
Organism: Phalaenopsis equestris
Lineage: Eukaryota; Viridiplantae; Streptophyta; Magnoliopsida; Asparagales; Orchidaceae
Exons: 2
Source: RefSeq, a predicted model, not a curated record